UACUAUAUGGAGUGGCGGAGAAUAAGAAAGGUAUCGAAGUCAAUAUGCAAGUUCUACAUGCUUGUGUGGAUAUACAUUUUCUAGGCUUUAUGAGUAAGUAUAUCCACCAUAAGUUCUUUUUACGAUGCAUCUGAGCUUGCAACUCGCAUCUUGCCAAACAUUGUUGUCCUGGCAGUUGAACCCGCCAGAUGACCUACGACUACAAGUGUACACUAAUCAUGUCCACAUCUCAAUUUAUAUCAAGAUCCGAAUUUGAUUAGCACCACAUAGGCAUUAAUAACAAAGUUCAGAACAUAUCACACAUGAUGUUGUUGCGAAGAUGAAGUUAGCUAAGUAUUCUUAUGCGGAUGUGAUUGCAUGUGAGAAUGAACUUCUAAGAAAAAUCA
This is a long non-coding RNA of Salvia splendens (bonfire salvia), 386 nucleotides long. RefSeq lists it as uncharacterized. NCBI's taxonomy places the organism in Eukaryota, Viridiplantae, Streptophyta, Magnoliopsida, Lamiales, Lamiaceae. The record is from RefSeq and is a predicted model, not a curated record. The transcript is spliced from 3 exons.